This 253-nucleotide ribosomal RNA is filed under the name uncultured bacterium. RNAcentral's name for it is "partial 16S ribosomal RNA". It matches the Rfam family "Bacterial small subunit ribosomal RNA", at positions 524 to 776 of the family's 1533-position model. The record is from RNAcentral.
UACGGGGGGGGCUAGCGUUGUUCGGAAUUACUGGGCGUAAAGGGCGCGUAGGCGGUCUGCUAAGUUGGAUGUGAAAACUCUGGGCUUAACCCAGAGCCUGCAUUCAAUACUGACAGGCUAGAGUUCUGGAGGGGAUAGCGGAAUUCCUGGUGUAGCGGUGAAAUGCGUAGAUAUCUGGAGGAACACCGGUGGCGAAGGCGGCAUCCUGGACCAACACUGACGCUGAUGAGCGAAAGCCAGGGGAGCAAACGGG